AAAUACAUAUAAUAAUUUUAUGUACAGAAAUAUGAAAUACAGGGACAAAUUUUCUUUAAAAUUAUUAUUAAUCCUUUGCACUCGGAGCUAUUUGGGACGUUACCUACCAACUCGGCGCUACUUUGUCGCGAAAAUGUGAACUUAGAAAUCGUCAUAUUAUAUAGUAUAGCUUUGGCACCAAGUAAUGUAUUGUAAUGAUAUUUGAUUUAUAUGAAUUUUUAGGCAUUGAGGAACAUAUCUUUUGCAAAAAAAUAAAAAUU
Molecule: unclassified non-coding RNA, 260 nt
Filed under: Bombus terrestris (buff-tailed bumblebee)
Lineage: Eukaryota; Metazoa; Arthropoda; Insecta; Hymenoptera; Apidae
Description: misc RNA ENSBTSG00005035396.1
Source: RNAcentral